This 253-nucleotide ribosomal RNA is filed under the name uncultured bacterium. Its description in RNAcentral is "partial 16S ribosomal RNA". It matches the Rfam family "Bacterial small subunit ribosomal RNA", at positions 524 to 776 of the family's 1533-position model. The record is from RNAcentral.
UACGUAGGGGGCUAGCGUUGUCCGGAUUUAUUGGGCGUAAAGAGCGUGUAGGCGGUCCGGUAAGUCAGCUGUGAAAGUCAAGGGCUCAACCCUUGAAUGCCGGUUGAUACUGUCGGGCUAGAGUCCGGAAGAGGCGAGUGGAAUUCCCGGUGUAGCGGUGAAAUGCGCAGAUAUCGGGAGGAACACCAAUGGCGAAGGCAGCUCGCUGGGACGGUACUGACGCUGAGACGCGAAAGCGUGGGGAGCAAACAGG